AGAGUUUGAUCCUGGCUCAGAACGAACGCUGGCGGCGUGCCUAACACAUGCAAGUCGAGCGCGAAUGGAGCAAUCCUAGUAGAGCGGCGCACGGGUGCGUAACACGUGGGUAAUCUGCCUCAGAGACUGGAAUAACCUGCCGAAAGGCAAGCUAAUACCAGAUAAGCCGACAGGCUCUUCGGAGCCCGACGGAAAAGGUG
This 200-nucleotide ribosomal RNA is filed under the name uncultured bacterium. RNAcentral describes it as "partial 16S ribosomal RNA". It matches the Rfam family "Bacterial small subunit ribosomal RNA", at positions 8 to 209 of the family's 1533-position model. The record is from RNAcentral.